RNAcentral lists this unclassified non-coding RNA (204 nucleotides) under uncultured Trechispora. Its description in RNAcentral is "sequence contains ITS2". The record is from RNAcentral. Lineage: Eukaryota; Fungi; Basidiomycota; Agaricomycetes; Polyporales; Polyporaceae.
AGUCAUCAACCCCUGCCGUUUAGUGCGGUUGCGGGUUGGAGCUGGGGGCUUGCUGCCGAGAGGCGGCUCCCCUCAAAUGCGUCGGUUGGGCCUGUGGGUCGGACUCGUUCGGGCGUUGUACCAUCCUCGCUCUUGGCCGAGAAGUUCCCCUCUUGUCGCCCCUCCACGACCUGCCUACUAGAGUGGCGGUCAAAGCAAUUUGAA